RNAcentral lists this ribosomal RNA (141 nucleotides) under uncultured eukaryote. RNAcentral describes it as "partial 18S ribosomal RNA". It matches the Rfam family "Eukaryotic small subunit ribosomal RNA", at positions 1299 to 1458 of the family's 1831-position model. The record is from RNAcentral.
UGGUGGAGUGAUUUGUCUGGUUAAUUCCGUUAACGAACGAGACCUCAGCCUGCUAACUAGCUACACGAACAUUCGUGUUCGUGGCCAGCUUCUUAGAGGGACCACCGGCGCUUAGCCGUGUGGAAGUUUGAGGCAAUAACA